Molecule: ribosomal RNA, 409 nt
Filed under: bacterium
Lineage: Bacteria
Description: partial 16S ribosomal RNA
Rfam family: Bacterial small subunit ribosomal RNA
Source: RNAcentral
UGGGGAAUAUUGCACAAUGGGCGAAAGCCUGAUGCAGCGACGCCGCGUGAGUGAUGACGGCCUUCGGGUUGUAAACCUCUUUCAGCAGGGACGAAGCGCAAGUGACGGUACCUGCAGAAGAAGCACCGGCUAACUACGUGCCAGCAGCCGCGGUAAUACGUAGGGUGCAAGCGUUGUCCGGAAUUACUGGGCGUAAAGAGUUCGUAGGCGGUUUGUCGCGUCGUUUGUGAAAACCAGCAGCUCAACUGCGGGAUUGCAGGCGAUACGGGCAGACUGGAGUACUGCAGGGGAGAGUGGAAUUCCUGGUGUAGCGGUGAAAUGCGCAGAUAUCAGGAGGAACACCGGUGGCGAAGGCGGGUCUCUGGGCAGUAACUGACGCUGAGGAACGAAAGCGUGGGGAGAGAACAGG